This 253-nucleotide ribosomal RNA is filed under the name uncultured bacterium. RNAcentral's name for it is "partial 16S ribosomal RNA". It matches the Rfam family "Bacterial small subunit ribosomal RNA", at positions 524 to 776 of the family's 1533-position model. The record is from RNAcentral.
UACGGAGGGUGCAAGCGUUAUCCGGAUUCACUGGGUUUAAAGGGCGCGUAGGCGGUUAAGUAAGUCCGUGGUGAAAUCUCUGAGCUUAACUCAGAAACUGCCGUGGAUACUAUUUGCCUUGAAUAUUGUGGAGGUGAGCGGAAUAUGUCAUGUAGCGGUGAAAUGCUUAGAUAUGACAUAGAACACCAAUUGCGAAGGCAGCUCACUGCACAAUCAUUGACGCUGAGGCACGAAAGCGUGGGGAGCAAACAGG